CAAUAGCGAAUAUUAAAGUUGUUGCAGUUAAAAAGCUCGUAGUUGAAUUUCUGGGGGGCAUGUUGGGACCGCUUGAUUGCGCGUCCUUGACAAACUCUCCAUCCUUGUAGGGAGCUGGUCGGCCUUCAUUGGUUCGGCCUGUCGACCUGCAUCAUUUACUGUGAAAAAAUUAGAGUGUUUAAAGCAGGCAAUCGCUUGAAUACAUUAGCAUGGAAUAACGAGAUAGGACAUUUGGUCUAUUUUGUUGGUUGCGACCAAACGUAAUGAUUAAUGGCGACGGUUGGGGGCCUUUGUAUUGAGGUGGAAGAGGUGAAAUUCUUGGAUUUCCUCAAGACAAACUACUGCGAAAGCACUGGCCAAGAACGCUCNCGUCAA
RNAcentral lists this ribosomal RNA (375 nucleotides) under uncultured eukaryote. RNAcentral's name for it is "partial 18S ribosomal RNA". It matches the Rfam family "Eukaryotic small subunit ribosomal RNA", at positions 592 to 976 of the family's 1831-position model. The record is from RNAcentral.